This 67-nucleotide transfer RNA is filed under the name Pseudocardium sachalinense (Sakhalin surf clam). Its description in RNAcentral is "tRNA-Met". The record is from RNAcentral. Lineage: Eukaryota; Metazoa; Mollusca; Bivalvia; Venerida; Mactridae.
CGAGGAGUAAACUAAGUUACUAAGUUGUUGGGCUCAUGUCCUAAAAAUAGAUGAAAUCUCUCCUUCG